GUGCUCCCUUUGGCAGCACAUACACUAAAAUUGGAAUGAUACAGAGAUCAGCAUGGCCCCUGCAUAAGGAUGACAUGCAAAUUUGUGAAGUAUUCCAUAUUUUA
Molecule: small nuclear RNA, 104 nt
Filed under: Dasypus novemcinctus (nine-banded armadillo)
Lineage: Eukaryota; Metazoa; Chordata; Mammalia; Cingulata; Dasypodidae
Source: RNAcentral